This 899-nucleotide small RNA is filed under the name Anisakis simplex (herring worm). RNAcentral's name for it is "eukaryotic LSU rRNA". The stretch from base 401 to 554 matches the Rfam family "5.8S ribosomal RNA". Lineage: Eukaryota; Metazoa; Nematoda; Chromadorea; Rhabditida; Anisakidae. The record is from RNAcentral.
GAGACAUUAUCGAGCGAAUCCAAACGAACGAAAAAGUCUCCCCAACGUGCAUACCUUCCAUUUGCAUGUGUGUGAGCCACAUGGAAACUCGUACACACGUGGUGGCAGCCGUCUGCUGUGCUUUUUUUAGGCAGACAAUGGCUUACGAGUGGCCCGUGUGCUUGUUGAACAACGGUGACCAAUUUGGCGUCUACGCCGUAUCUAGCUUCUGCCUGGACCGUCAGUUGCGAUGAAAGAUGCGGAGAAAGUUCCUUUGUUUUGGCUGCUAAUCAUCAUUGAUGAGCAGUAGCUUAAGGCAGAGUUGAGCAGACUUAAUGAGCCACGCUAGGUGGCCGCCAAAACCCAAAACACAACCGGUCUAUUUGACAUUGUUAUUUCAUUGUAUGUGUUGAAAAUGUACAAAUCUUGGCGGUGGAUCACUCGGUUCGUGGAUCGAUGAAGAACGCAGCCAGCUGCGAUAAAUAGUGCGAAUUGCAGACACAUUGAGCACUAAGAAUUCGAACGCACAUUGCGCUAUCGGGUUCAUUCCCGAUGGCACGUCUGGCUGAGGGUCGAAUUACGGUGAACUGUCUUCACGGUUUUUCUGGACUGUGAAGCAUUCGGCAAGCAAUUGCUGUUGUGUUGUUGGUGAUUCUAUCAUGGACAAUAUGACGAGCGGUUCCUUGCUUAGUGAUGACAAAAGAAGACGUCAACACCGAAUCUACUAUACUACUAAUACUAGUAUAUAGGUGAGGUGCUUUUGGUGGUCACAAAAGUGACAAGUAUGCCAUUUCAUAGGGGCAACAACCAGCAUACGUGAUAAGUUGGCUGGUUGAUGAAACGGCAACGGAAUGACGGACGUCUAUGUGAUCAAAAAUGAUACUAUUGACCUCAGCUCAGUCGUGAUACCGCUGAUAUGC